AUCUGGCAGCCUCAGGUUGCCCGAGUUGUAAUCUAUAGAAACGUUUUCCGCGUUGGCCCAUGUACAAGUCUCCUGGAAUGGAGCGUCAUAGAGGGUGAGAAUCCCGUCCUUGACAUGGACUACCAGUGCUUUGUGAUACGUUUUCAAAGAGUCGAGUUGUUUGGGAAUGCAGCUCAAAAUGGGUGGUAAAUUCCAUCUAAAGCUAAAUAUUGGCGAGAGACCGAUAGCGAACAAGUACCGUGAGGGAAAGAUGAAAAGCACUUUGGAAAGAGAGUUAAACAGUAUGUGAAAUUGUUGAAAGGGAAACGAUUGAAGUCAGUCAUGUCUAUUGGACUCAGCCGGUUCUGCCGGUGUACUUCCUUUAGAUGGGGUCAACAUCAGUUUUGAUCGCUGGAAAAGGGCAGGAGGAAUGUAGCACUCUCGGGUGAACUUAUAGCCUUCUGUCGUAUACAGUGGUUGGGACUGAGGAACGCAGCAUGCCUUUAUGGCCGGGGUUCGCCCACGUACAUGCUUAGGAUGUUGA
This 523-nucleotide ribosomal RNA is filed under the name Solicoccozyma terrea. RNAcentral describes it as "eukaryotic LSU rRNA". It matches the Rfam family "Eukaryotic large subunit ribosomal RNA", at positions 120 to 629 of the family's 3401-position model. The record is from RNAcentral. Lineage: Eukaryota; Fungi; Basidiomycota; Tremellomycetes; Filobasidiales; Piskurozymaceae.